UUGGAAAAUCGUAAUCAGAUCAGAAAGUGGUGUUUGAUUUUGCUUCCGCAAAUGGAAACCAAUCUUCUGCGGACAAUUCAAUGGCGUUUGUCGCAUCUGUGCGUGAGUCGAAGGAUUUGGCUUAGCUUUUCGAGGCCACAAGUUUUCGGAUAUUUUCUUAGUUCCAGGCAUCCCAUCCCUCUGGUGCUACCACCGAAUCCAAUGAAGUAUCCUCAAAUAUAACUCUGGAAUAAGGACGAUAAGCUCUCCCCAAAAACACUUGGCCAGCCCCCGUUACAUUGCACUGUUUAAAUAUAAACCCGCUCGAGUCUGCUGCCGAUUCUCGACCUUGUGCGGUAAUGAAUCCUUGGUGCACUUGAGGGAGAGAUGCAACAUUAACAUUUAUCAAGCAGUCCUGCAUUGUCAAAAACAUGCAUUUUUGGUUUCAAGUUGCAGUGUAAGUCUCCCCAAAUUGAAUAAAGAAACGGUAUCGGCAUUUGAAGUUGGCAGAAACAGAACCAUGAAUGGCCUUCUUGCAUCAACUUGGAAAGUUUAUAGAGUACCUUGUAAAUUGAUUGCCCUCUACCAAAGAUGAAGUCUAUGGCACCUUCGAUAUAGCAAUUUUCAAAGAGAUGGCGGCCUUGUACAUCCCAUAAUGUGUCUUGAAACCCCAUGAAUCCGCAGUCGAAAAAUGCCGAUCUGUCACCGAAAAUUCUUGCAGCUACUGCUUGUGUAAUGUAAGUUCCACCACUAUAAUCAUACAGUUGCGGCGCUUCUGCAAGAUUGAAGGAGUUCUGCAUUGCACCACGACAAUAUCUAAUCAAACACAAGCAACAAUUCUAACAAGAUAGACACUGAUCAAUGAUUGAGCAAUGAUUAACUUGCAGCCUAAUUUGCUAUGAAUUUUCAAUGAUGUGAACAUAAAUUCAGUUUAUGUCAAAUCAAGCAAUGGAAGCAACAGCACCUUAAAGGUAAUGCCUCUGGCAACAACGUUAUCAGGAAUUGAAGUAAAUGUAGCACUAAGAUCUGUUCUUUGAUGGUCAUCGAACGUGAUAAUCGUAGUCCUACGAUCACCUCCAUCGAGAAAAAUGUAAGAUGGAACCGAAUCGAUGGCUGCUUGAACGGUCCAGAAAUCGCCCGUGCCAGACUUGUCAACCACAAUGGAGGAUUCAAUUCUUAAAACCUCAGAGUUGCUUGCAUAAGCCACAGCUUCAGAACCAAAAACAGCAGCAUUAGACAGGGUGAAGAGUAAGAGAAAUGGAGGGAGAAGCUGCAUUCUUUCUUACACAGAUGCCAGUUGAAAAUGGUAAGCUCUGAAUUCUCAAGGUGCUGAAGAAGUAAUAGGCCAUAUAUUCACACACAAACACACAUAGAGAGAGAAAAGAGAGAAAUGAAUUCAUAAAUGCAAAUGCUUUUUAGGAUAUUGUUCAUGCAUAAGAAUCCAUUAGAAGAAGAGUUGAUUGCAGUGUCAAAUGAAACAGGAAUGAAAGCUAUGAUCUUGCAAAAAUUCAAGGAGUCAAUAGUUCACUUUGAUUUAGGCAUUUUGCAUUGGUCGUGAUUGUGUUAAUAAACACAUUAAAAACUUUGCCAAAUAUGGAAUGGAAUGCCUGUAUAUGAUCCUA
Momordica charantia (bitter melon) is the source of this 1601-nucleotide long non-coding RNA. RefSeq lists it as uncharacterized. Lineage: Eukaryota; Viridiplantae; Streptophyta; Magnoliopsida; Cucurbitales; Cucurbitaceae. The record is from RefSeq and is a predicted model, not a curated record.